RNAcentral lists this unclassified non-coding RNA (1924 nucleotides) under Hevea brasiliensis (rubber tree). Lineage: Eukaryota; Viridiplantae; Streptophyta; Magnoliopsida; Malpighiales; Euphorbiaceae. The record is from RNAcentral.
CGGGCAAAUUGUGCUGCAUAAACCAGCACCUCAAAUUUUUCUUAACAUAAUAUUAAUUAUCCAACCGUAAAGAGGGAAAAAUGGUAAGGAAAUAAAGCCAAGAUUGCUAGAAGUUUCACCGGCAGCAGCUCUUCAUCCAAUAAGAAAAAUAAGUACCAGAUUGCACUUCCAAUACUGAUGCAGUUUCAUCCUACACAGCAUUAGCCUCAGAAAUUAUACUUGAUAAAUUAUGUUAUUGCAUUCUUGAAAAGAACUUCGCACAUAAAAAUUGGAUUUUGAGAGAGAUCCAUAGUGAGGUUAUGAAUUUUGAAUGAUCAAGUCUGUUCGGCUGACCCAACAACACGGACAGACAAUUGGAGAUUUUCUAAUCAAAUAUAUGCUUGUUUAUUCCGCAUACGUUCCUACAGACAUGGCAGCAUCGUUCAUUUCCUUUUUUUUUUAUGUCCUCCAAACUUGGGUUCUUCUCCACUUUUGGUCUUCUUCUCCAUCCAUGAUGACAUGACUUCACUUUAAGAAUCCAGCUAUCAAAACCCAAAAACAUCCCUAAAUUUUCUUUAUUUUACUUGUGUACAUUCAAUUCAACCCAACAUACAAGUAUUUUGUUCUUUCAAACAACUUAAUGGAAUUUUAAAGGAGUUUCAAUCCUCUCUCUCUUGAGUAGUUCCAAUUCAAUUCAUCAAAUAAAAAUGGGACAGCACAAACUGCUUCAUUCUGGUCAAUGACAAUUACAUGCAAAAAGGUGCAUUACCGCAGGAAGCUCAGGGCAAAUUUCAGUUGAGUUGAUGCAACCUUAUUAAUAAUUGCAAGCACCUUUGCUAUUCUGAUUAAAUAUCAACAAUGCCCAUGGCUUCUGCUCAUAGAAUGCCGUCUAAGGAGCUUUUGACCAGGAGUUUGAUGAUCAUCCUUGUAUAAUGAUGCUGCUGACUCGGAUUGUACUGUUUGAAUUGGAAUAUGAAGACAGAGAAAGCUACCAGAAAUGCAAAGGNGCGCAUCCAACGUCAGCUGCCACCCACAGAGUGCAUCUGCAUCAGCAUUGUUGCCAGAACCACGGCUACUACAACCAGCAGCAGCAACAUUUCCAUUCACCCAUGGACAGAACUGAUUGUGAUGAAUAAUUGGAUCAAACUCUAUAGCCUCUUCAUAGUUGCUUUCACCUUUUGGAGGCCCUAUCCCAUUGGCAAUAGCAUAAUCUGACUCCAUGCAUGGACAAUUGUUUGUAGAGGAUAACUUUCCAGCCUUGCUGACCCCUUUCUUAGUUGUUUGAUAGCCAGAGUACAUAUUUGCAUUGCAGGAAAGAGAAGGGCGGACAUUGCUAUCUAGAGCUAACUUGCAGCUUUGACUUGCUUCCUUUUCACCACUUUCAACAGAUUCAGCCUUUGCAGUAGAACCAUCUAUUUUUGAGCCACUAUCAGCCCUUUCUAUAGAUUGAGACAACAUCUCCUGGCUAUCACCAUGAGGAUCUUCCCUGUUUAUUUCAUCAGGAACAACCUCAUCCAUUAAUCCAGGAUCAGGGGCAGAUUCACCAGUCUGACCUUGAUUUUCAACAUCUUCUAUUCUGGGUUCCACAUCACCAACUACACUAUCAGUUCUAUGGACAGAAACAUCAGCCCCAUGAAUUUCAGCUUCAUGACUAGCACACAUGCCUACACUGCCUCCACUAAUACCAAAACUAGGACCAUCCCGAGCCUGAGCUGUGACUGUUUCUGCAUUGAAAAUCUCUUCACCAUCAUUUGUACUACUGACACCCAUUUCACCAGGAGCUACUGCAGCAGCACGUCUGAAACAAAUGCUUUGCUGGGCUUGAUUGCUGUAAUUCAGUUCAGACGUCUCAUUCAUGUCCAGAUUCCCGUACAUACUGGAAGAGGGGAAAUGAACAUCAUCAAUAUCUCCAGGGUAGUUUUCAACACUUUCCAUAGAAUCAUCA